Molecule: long non-coding RNA, 615 nt
Organism: Cyprinus carpio carpio
Lineage: Eukaryota; Metazoa; Chordata; Actinopteri; Cypriniformes; Cyprinidae
Source: Ensembl
GUGUUGGGUAGUCCUGGAACAUUAUCUAAACACAGAAUAUCUGUUCCCACUAUAGAAGCCUUGUUUUCCAGUUCAGGCACUGGUGUACAUCCUGAGAGAUUCCUGCUGGUGGUGCCACUGGUGUGGGUACUAGGUUACUCUGAUUUCGACAAAGAAUACCCUUAGGUGAAUCCACAAGACGAUUCAAGUCCAUCCAGCCUGGGUUCAACACUGAUGGUAUGACCGGGACUGUAGUUCGCAGCUUUCUGCCCAUCAGCAGUUCUGCAGGACUAUAUCCAUUGGAUAAUGGUGUUGCCCGAUACUCCAUAAGAGCAAGAAUAGCAGUUGAUGACUGCUGUGCAGUGGAAAUACCUGAUAAUUUGCUUGAUAAGACCUAAAUAUAUCGUCAGGAGCAACAGGUAUUAGUUUUGUAUUCCUUGAUAUGUAACCCCCCACACACACACACCUUCCAAAACUGGGCAGCCUCUGACUUGCAUUUUAUUAAUCACCAAGGGCCACAGUUUCAGCUAAAAAUCCUCUUUGCUCUUCUGCUGAAGAACAACAGUCACUGACAUCUUAGAUGGCCUGAGGGUAAGUAAAUUUACAGCAAACUUUUUAUUUUUUGUGUGAACUAUU